AGCGGCGGACGGGUGAGUAACGCGUGAGCAACCUUUCCCAGACAGGGGAAUAACACACCGAAAGGUGUACUAAUACCGCAUAAGACCACGGGAUCACAUGGUUCUGGGGUAAAAGAUCUAUCGGUUUGGGGUGGGCUCGCGUCCGAUUAGGUAGUUGGUGAGGUAACGGCCCACCAAGCCGACGAUCGGUAGCCGACCUGAGAGGGUGAUCGGCCACAUUGGGACUGAGACACGGCCCAAACUCCUACGGGAGGCAGCAGUGGGGAAUAUUGGGCAAUGGGGGGAACCCUGACCCAGCAACGCCGCGUGGAGGAAGAAGGUUUUCGGAUCGUAAACUCCUGUCCUUGGAGACGAGUAGAAGACGGUAUCCAAGGAGGAAGCCCCGGCUAACUACGUGCCAGCAGCCGCGGUAAUACGUAGGGGGCAAGCGUUGUCCGGAAUAAUUGGGCGUAAAGGGCGCGUAGGCGGCUCGGUAAGUCUGGAGUGAAAGUCCUGCUUUUAAGGUGGGAAUUGCUUUGGAUACUGUCGGGCUUGAGUGCAGGAGAGGUUAGUGGAAUUCCCAGUGUAGCGGUGAAAUGCGUAGAGAUUGGGAGGAACACCAGUGGCGAAGGCGACUAACUGGACUGUAACUGACGCUGAGGCGCGAAAGUGUGGGGAGCAAACAGGAUUAGAUACCCUGGUAGUCCACACUGUAAACGAUGAAUGCUAGGUGUAGGGGGUAUCGACCCCUUCUGUGCCGCAGUCAACACAAUAAGCAUUCCGCCUGGGGAGUACGGCCGCAAGGUUGAAACUCAAAGGA
Molecule: ribosomal RNA, 799 nt
Filed under: uncultured bacterium
Lineage: Bacteria
Description: bacterial SSU rRNA
Rfam family: Bacterial small subunit ribosomal RNA
Source: RNAcentral